AGUGUUGCGUAGGCUUGAUUUGCGCAUUUUGUUUAAAAGACUAAGGCUCAACCUUAGUUUUGGGCAAAAUAUGGCAAAUCUUGAUGGUUUAAGAGGGUACUGGAACUCUAUAUGUAGCAGUGAAAUGCGUUGAUAUGUAGAGGAACACCAAAGGCGUAGGCAGGUACCUGGGAAACUCAUGACGCUGAGGCACGACAGCUUGGGGAGCGAAAAAGAUUAGAGACCUUUGUAGUCCAAGCCGUAAACGAUGGAUGCUAGUUAGUCCCUCUUUUGGGACCGACGUAAGGUAACCCGUUAAGCAUCCCGCCUGGGGAGUACGAACGCAAGUUUAAAACUCAAAGGAAUUGACGGGGAGGCGCACAAGCAGUGGAGCAUGUGGUUUAAUUCGAUACAAAGCGAAAAACCUCACCAGGGUUUGACAUGUAGAUGCUAGGCCUAAGAAACUAGGCCUCCUUCGAGGGUUCUACACAGAUGCUGCAUGGCUGUCGUCAGUUCGUGGCGUGAGCUGUACCGUUAAGUCGGGCAACG
RNAcentral lists this ribosomal RNA (528 nucleotides) under uncultured Microgenomates group bacterium. RNAcentral describes it as "bacterial SSU rRNA". It matches the Rfam family "Bacterial small subunit ribosomal RNA", at positions 564 to 1094 of the family's 1533-position model. The record is from RNAcentral.